Molecule: ribosomal RNA, 641 nt
Filed under: Porina alba
Lineage: Eukaryota; Fungi; Ascomycota; Lecanoromycetes; Ostropales; Porinaceae
Description: SSU rRNA
Rfam family: Bacterial small subunit ribosomal RNA
Source: RNAcentral
GUUACAUUAAAUUCUAGGUAAAUUUUUGAUUAUGACAUAGUUUAUCUAUAAGUCUUGACCAAAUCAUGUGCCAGCAGUCGCGGUAAGACAUGGAAGACAAGUGUUAUUCAUGAUUAGUGGGUUUAAAGGGUACUCAGACAGUUAAUUAAGCCUAUAUAUUAUGCAGGUACUAAUUAUACUAGAGUUUUAUAGAAGAAGGCUAGAACGGUGAGUGGAGAGAUGAAAUAUGUUGAUACCACCUAGAUACUGACAACGGUGAAGACAACCUUUUAUGUAAUAACUGACGUUAAAGGACGAAGGCUCAAGAGAAAGCAACAGGAUUAGGUACCCCAGUACUGUGGGCAGACAAUGAUGAGUGUCAUAGGUAAGUUUUUUAAUUUAAUUAACAAAUUAUAAGUUUACGUAUAAAUGAAAGUGUAAGCACUCCACCUUAAGAGUAACAUGGCAACAUCGGAACUGAAAUCAUUAGACCGUUUCUGAAACCAGUAGUGAAGUAUGUUGUUUAAUUUGAUGAUCCACAAAGAACCUUACCACAAUUUGAAUUACUCACAGGAGUUGCACGGCUGUCUUCAGUUGAUAUCGUGAGAUUUUGGUUAGAUCCAUCAAUCAACGUAAACCCUUACUUUAUUUUUUUCAUAAAG